This 319-nucleotide long non-coding RNA is filed under the name Lathyrus oleraceus (garden pea). RNAcentral's name for it is "Pisum sativum (pea) long non-coding RNA (PSAT_LNC031471)". Lineage: Eukaryota; Viridiplantae; Streptophyta; Magnoliopsida; Fabales; Fabaceae. The record is from RNAcentral.
UUUGGGCUGGUUCGGUUGGUUCGGUUUUUUAUAAUAUUUUUAUUGAGCCAUAUAUACUCCUAUAAAUAACGAUAUAACUUUGUGUUUAGUCAUUCAUACAUUACUAAAUAACAUCAAAAUUCAUCAUAUUUAGACAAAAACGUUUCAUUCAAUAUACAAAAAACCAGAUUAGAAAAAAGUGGAAUAAAAGACAAAUAUAAAUAGUAGCAUAAAAUAAUAUCAAAGACAUUAUAAUAAAACAUAAAAAAAACAUAUGAGAUGAGAGAUUAGAGAAGGUGAAAAAAAUAACAUAAGAGAUGCGAGAUUAAGAAGAAAAGUG